UAAACGUCUCAGAGGCUCUUUGAUAUGCA
RNAcentral lists this small RNA (29 nucleotides) under Bombyx mori (domestic silkworm). RNAcentral describes it as "ovarian small RNA-5560". Lineage: Eukaryota; Metazoa; Arthropoda; Insecta; Lepidoptera; Bombycidae. The record is from RNAcentral.